CACUCACAACAAUUAUGAUAUUAUUAUCAACACAAAUUACAAUCCAUUCUACAAAUUCAUAUGAUACAAUACUUCAAAUCGUGCCUGCACAGGAUAAAUAAAAAUAAGUUAGGACAAAUAAAAAUAAGUGUUCAAUUAUUAUACUUUAUACUUCAGAAAGCAGAUGAAGAGAAAGAGUAGUCCAAGAAGAGAGAACAAUAUUCCAUGAUGAAGAACAUCUAUCACCUUAAAAUACUAAAAAUAAAGCUCCAAACUUUAUCAAAAUUCAAUUCAGAUUUGAAAUUUGAUUACCUUAUUUAUGUAACUGUUUUUUCUUCCCAAAUUCUCAGAUUUUGCAACAUCACCUCAUUUUUUGCUUCCAUUACCUUCUUUAGUUGCUUUGUGAUUCUGAUGUAAAAUCUUCAGCAAAAACAGUUGCAAAAAAACCCCAAAACAUUGUCAAUUGAAACCCUAAUUACCCCAUUCAAUUAAAUUAAAUUAAAUAAAUAAACAGAUGGAAACAAAAAUACACUUUCAAAAGAGAUGAACAUUUGACAAUACAAAUGGAAAAACUGAGAAAAAUGGAGCUAACAUUUUGGACAAAAAUCAUAUAAAUGCAAACAAAACUGGACACGAUGAGAAUACUGGAAAAUCCCUCGGUUUUUGCUUGCAUUACCUUCUAUAGGUGCUUUGUGAUUCUGAUGCAAAAUCUUAUGCAAAAAUGAUAUAGAAUACUGGAAAACGAAACAAACAUAAAAGUAACAAUAUUAAUACCAGUGGAGCAAAGGAAAUGCAAAAAAG
Molecule: long non-coding RNA, 780 nt
Filed under: Phaseolus vulgaris (common bean)
Lineage: Eukaryota; Viridiplantae; Streptophyta; Magnoliopsida; Fabales; Fabaceae
Description: long non-coding RNA (PVUL_LNC001860)
Source: RNAcentral